This is a long non-coding RNA of Sebastes umbrosus (honeycomb rockfish), 434 nucleotides long. RefSeq lists it as uncharacterized. The transcript has 4 exons. NCBI's taxonomy places the organism in Eukaryota, Metazoa, Chordata, Actinopteri, Perciformes, Sebastidae. The record is from RefSeq and is a predicted model, not a curated record.
GUCCACUAACUCUGCAGCACACGUGCAGAACCUGGUUUUCAUUAAUUGGUCCACGCGCUGCUCACCUGCACUAAUUAGCUAAUUCAUUAAAUCAAAGUUACUUCCAUCGGUGAAGAGAAGACUAAACGACGGUUAAAUGGUACAUGUGGUACUCUCAGGCAACUAAAAGAGAUGAAGCUCACCAGUGAGGGAUGGUGAAGGGCAGGAACGAAGAAUGGCGAAGGAUCUCCAGGAUGAAGGCCUCCAGAAAGGGUUGCCCUGGCAACGACUCUAGUGUGAGCGGUGACCGCACGGCAGGGGGCGGAGCUGUUAGUGUCAAAGAUGCAAGCAAGGCUCCACUUGCCCAGUUCGUCCCAUCUGCGUGGUUAGGGAUUAUUUAUAUGUUGGCACUUUGACCACCAGCAUCCUUUAUCAACAAAGAAACAAAGAGUCAA